Long non-coding RNA from Drosophila simulans, 974 nucleotides. RefSeq lists it as uncharacterized. The record is from RefSeq and is a predicted model, not a curated record. The transcript has 3 exons. NCBI's taxonomy places the organism in Eukaryota, Metazoa, Arthropoda, Insecta, Diptera, Drosophilidae.
UACUUUGUCUGUCCGGUUAGCGGAAAAUUCGUUGAAGAUACAGAACUGAGGAGAAAUAUGCAAUUUAAGGACAAGUUUUGCAGCAUAAUAAUGUGGCAUCAGCGCCACGCAAAUGAUCAUUAUUUAUGCUUUGGCAUCAGGAGAUGGAGACGGCAUCAUAAAAUUGUCAACUUUUUGUGUUUAAAAUCGCGAAAGUUGGCGAUUUAGUUUUGCUUUUGCGGUGCCUGUCUCAUGAUUUACGUGCGCGUAGUCGGCAGGGUGAAGUCGCAUUUUUGUAUCUGCUGGUUUGCCUGUCAGGUUUGCAAUUUUCUGUGUGUCCUUGAUUAAUUUUGUAUUAUAUUCUUAUUAAUUUUCCUUUCCUUACAGAUUAUCAGGAAAUCAUUGAAAAUACAGUAAUGAGGAAAUUUAUACAAUUUGGAGAAGGAUUUUAAUUCUUUUUAAUAUGAUGUCGGCUCCGGGAUAGUGAUCCUUUUUAGUGCAGUGGCAUCAGGAGGUGGAGACGGCGUCUUAGGAUUAUUUAUUUUUUGUGUUUAUAAUCGCGAAAAUUGGCGAUUUCGUUUUGUUUUUGCGACGCUCGCCACCUCUUGUCAGUUGCUUUAGAUGUGGAACAACAGUUGGUUGUGGUCAAGUAGGUUUUAGCGUCAGCUCUUAAAGGCGCUCGUCGAUCUGGAUUUUGAGAGUAGCAGGAAGGAUGGAUUUUGCAGCUCCGCGCUGGGUGCCCUGGUCGAAGCGUAGGCAGCUUUUGUGGCCCGUCUUUUGCAGCGCUGCAUUGCAGGUAGAUUGCAUCGGUGAUGCGGGAUACUGUCAGGGACCGUGUGGCGAGAAAGUUCAGGUAAGUGACGUUGUGCAUGAAUUGCUGCAGCGAGUCGCCUUUUAUUCAUCAUGUUUCUGCCACACUAAUCCUUUUUAUAUCGAUCUACCGAUUUUUCUUUUAUGUCCUGGUUGAUUUUCUCCUCAUCGUUUCGUCAGGAUCA